RNAcentral lists this ribosomal RNA (253 nucleotides) under uncultured bacterium. Its description in RNAcentral is "partial 16S ribosomal RNA". It matches the Rfam family "Bacterial small subunit ribosomal RNA", at positions 524 to 776 of the family's 1533-position model. The record is from RNAcentral.
UACGUAGGGUGCGAGCGUUAAUCGGAAUUACUGGGCGUAAAGCGUGCGCAGGCGGUUUUGUAAGUCAGAUGUGAAAUCCCCGGGCUCAACCUGGGAACUGCGUUUGAAACUGCAAGGCUAGAGUAUGGGAGAGGGAGGUAGAAUUCCACGUGUAGCAGUGAAAUGCGUAGAGAUGUGGAGGAAUACCAAUGGCGAAGGCAGCCUCCUGGCCUAAUACUGACGCUCAUGCACGAAAGCGUGGGGAGCAAACAGG